UCCCUGAUGGCUCAGACGGUAAAAGCGUCUGCUCGCAAUGCAGGAGACCCAGGUUUGAUCCCUGGGUUGGGAA
Molecule: transfer RNA, 73 nt
Filed under: Bos taurus (domestic cattle)
Lineage: Eukaryota; Metazoa; Chordata; Mammalia; Artiodactyla; Bovidae
Also listed under: 1 other name
Rfam family: tRNA
About the family: Transfer RNA (tRNA) molecules are approximately 80 nucleotides in length.
Source: Rfam by way of RNAcentral